RNAcentral lists this ribosomal RNA (415 nucleotides) under uncultured crenarchaeote. RNAcentral describes it as "partial 16S ribosomal RNA". It matches the Rfam family "Archaeal small subunit ribosomal RNA", at positions 330 to 747 of the family's 1478-position model. Lineage: Archaea; Thermoproteati; Thermoproteota. The record is from RNAcentral.
GUGCAGCAGUCGCGAAAACUUUGCAAUAAGCGAAAGCUUGACAGGGCUAUCCCGAGUGCCAUCCGCUGAGGAAGGCUUUUACCCAGUCUAGAAAGCUGGGGGAAUAAGGAGAGGGCAAGUCUGGUGUCAGCCGCCGCGGUAAUACCAGCUCUCCGAGUGGUGUGGAUGUUUAUUGGGCCUAAAGCAUCCGUAGCUGGCUGAGUUAGUCCCCUGUUAAAUCCACCGAAUUAAUCGUUGGAUUGCGGGGGAUACUGCUUGGCUAGGGGACGAGAGAGGCAGACGGUAUUUCCGGGGUAGGGGUGAAAUCCUAUAAUCCCGGGAAGACCACCAGUGGCGAAGGCUGUCUGCUAGAACGCGCCCGACGGUGAGGGAUGAAAGCUGAGGGAGCGAACCGGAUUAGAUACCCCUGUAGUCC